This 492-nucleotide ribosomal RNA is filed under the name uncultured bacterium. Its description in RNAcentral is "partial 16S ribosomal RNA". It matches the Rfam family "Bacterial small subunit ribosomal RNA", at positions 29 to 507 of the family's 1533-position model. The record is from RNAcentral.
AGUGAACGCUGGCGGUAGGCCUAACACAUGCAAGUCGAACGGCAGCACAGUAAGAGCUUGCUCUUACGGGUGGCGAGUGGCGGACGGGUGAGGAGUACAUCGGAAUCUACUUUUUCGUGGGGGAUAACGUAGGGAAACUUACGCUAAUACCGCAUACGACCUACGGGUGAAAGCAGUGGAUCUUCGGACCUUGCGCGAUUGAAUGAGCCGAUGUCGGAUUAGCUAGUUGGCGGGGUAAAGGCCCACCAAGGCGACGAUCCGUAGCUGGUCUGAGAGGAUGAUCAGCCACACUGGAACUGAGACACGGUCCAGACUCCUACGGGAGGCAGCAGUGGGGAAUAUUGGACAAUGGGCGCAAGCCUGAUCCAGCCAUACCGCGUGGGUGAAGAAGGCCUUCGGGUUGUAAAGCCCUUUUGUUGGGAAAGAAAAGCAGCAGGUUAAUACCCCGCUGUUCUGACGGUACCCAAAGAAUAAGCACCGGCUAACUUCGUG